GUUUCCGUAGUGUAGUGGUUAUCACGUCUGCUUUACAAGCAGAAGGUCCACAGUUCGAACCUGGGCGGAAACA
This is a non-coding RNA of Nematostella vectensis (starlet sea anemone), 73 nucleotides long. NCBI's taxonomy places the organism in Eukaryota, Metazoa, Cnidaria, Anthozoa, Actiniaria, Edwardsiidae. The record is from Rfam.